AAACUCCAAAACCAAGUAGGAUUUAGUCUCAAAAUUCGCAGCUUUCUGUUCUGUCCAGUUUUCGGGCCUUUACAGUUGGACUUUGCUUCUUGGACUACUUCUGAAUUAAAGAGAAUUUCAAGGGCUUCGCGUGGGCUGUAAGAUCGUCCAAUUCUGACACCCGGAACUCAAGAUAUGGCCCAAACAGUGUAGAAAUCGGGUA
Molecule: long non-coding RNA, 202 nt
Filed under: Daucus carota (carrot)
Lineage: Eukaryota; Viridiplantae; Streptophyta; Magnoliopsida; Apiales; Apiaceae
Description: long non-coding RNA (DCAR_LNC003062)
Source: RNAcentral